This 4171-nucleotide long non-coding RNA is filed under the name Gallus gallus (chicken). Its description in RNAcentral is "lncRNA (ENSGALG00010007670.1)". Lineage: Eukaryota; Metazoa; Chordata; Aves; Galliformes; Phasianidae. The record is from RNAcentral.
AUUGUCUUCUGAUUUCUACAGAUUACAACACGCUUUGCUUUUCUCUCUUCCCUAGAGCGACUCUAGAAAGUUUAAAGCUAAACAACAGUAAUUUGGAUAUGCCUCAAUUACUCCAAACCAUUCAUUAUGGGAACUGUGUGUGUGCUGGAAGGAGUAAACCAAAAGGAGAAGUUCUUGGCCAGAACAGCUCACCACAGAGCGAGAGAGUUGCUGUGGUGCAAAGUGACUGCAAAGCAGUAUUUGGAUGGGCUGGAAUACGGAGGCAAGUCACGAGAAUCUUGACUGUGUGCAGAUUUCUCUAUUCAAAAACUGUGUUUUAGAAAAAGGGAUACUCAUGUUUCUCCUGUGUGAAUCAGUGAUUUACACAGCUGUCCUUUCAUGAAAAAGCAAACUGAAGGCAUAGCAGAGCAUGAAAGAAAGACACGAUUCAGACCUCAUUCCUGAUUUUAUGCUUGUGUAAUAUUCUUGAGUACAAAGUAGCAUCAGUCAUCCUGUUGUCAAUGCAGUGCUGGGAUAAGUGAAGGCAAAACUGGGAUUUACAAGGCCUACAGCUCUGCAGAGCACACAUUUAUAUAUAUAUAUAUUGCCACAGAUCAGGUCCAGUGAAUAUGCUAAACACAGCCAAUAUAACGCAAGAUCCUUCGGCCAAUUAACUAAUAAGUGCAUGGUUUUCUUGUUCCAUCUGAAGCUCAGCUCAAACCCUGCUUGCUUCACUGCAGCAGUCACUUCCCCAAGAGAGAGUACAAAAUACCCCUGGUUGUUUCAGCGCAGUGUGCAUCUGGAUGAAUAGGCAUUGGCACAGUUACAGAUGCAGUUCCUAGCACCUCUUGGGAAAUUUUACUUGAAGUAAAACUCAGUCAGAUCAACACUGAGGGAGGCAUUGUCAUGGCUGUGGGGCUGUAAACAAAAGACAAUAUCUGUCACCUAAAAGUGGAGUUAAAAGCAGAUAUGCUGGGGAUGGCUGCAUUGUGAAGUAAAACAGACUUGGUCUCUGUUGAUAAUAAAGAACAUAACAGGUACUCAUAAUAACCAAACUGACAGGAGAAGCAGUCAGAACACAGAAAUAACAAAGAGGGAAGAGGUUAAGAAUAUCAGCUGGAAAUAAUGAGUGAGAUUCAGCUGAAGAAGAAUAGUAUGAAGUAGUGAAGGCAGAGGAGGAAAUCUGGGACCACAAAGGGCAGGCUCCUUCCUGCAGUGGGACAUAUGAAAGGGAUGCAGAAGAUGCUCAGGGUACCUAAGUUCCCUUGGGAAGGAGGCAAGUGCAGUAGGGAUCCUGGUCACUUAUUUGUCUAGCUAAAGCCUAACCAAUGUAACAUUUUUGCAAUAAAAGUAGUUGAGCUGCAAGUAUCCAAGUUAGAAUUCUCAUAGCUGCCUACUGAAAGGACAUGGGUUCCAUCUCAGCCAGUGAUCCUUGUGUUACCAGCUGUUGCACAGUGUGAACCAUUAGAAACAGACCAGAGAUCUCACAUCCACCCUCUGUUCAGUUGGUCAUCCAGUUCUCCUCCACUACUGGCUGCUUUGGUAAGCAAGUUGUUGACAAACCACCAAAUCAGAUGCUUUACACACUUGGGAACAGGUGUGUGCUCUGGAUGUCAUCCUGGCCAAGCCUAUUGUCACACCACUCUUCUCAUGGUUGCCCAAUGGUCUGGUUGCCAUGUACAGGCUGAACACUGGAUUACUGGAAAAUACCUAUCCCAACUCUCUGUAUCCUUAGGUUUUCAAAUCCUAGAUGUUUUAGUUUUUGAAAGACUUCCACUGAGUUCUGAACAGAUGUGAACUUUCAAGUAUCCAUUAAUGAAAUGGAAGUGCUCCAAGGGAUAGAAACGAUCUAGGAUCUACAGUUGGUGUGCAAAGAAAGGCUUGAAAAAGCAUGUGUCACUUGGCUGGGUGAAGUGGAGAACAGAAGAAGAGACCACAACUUAACCAAGGUUUAUGCACUAAGUGGCCAAGACCUCAUCCCUCAGGCUAGGGAAAUGUGUUGCUUUCACACGUUCAUCAUCACAAGGGCUGGCUUCAGAAGCUGUGCCAAUGGAAUAACAGAGUACAAAGCAAAGCAAGUUUAAAUUUGAACAAGUGUGCAAAUUCUAACAAAGAACAGAGAGACAAGACAACAACCUACCUUGGGGCCACUCUUCCUUUGGAAUCACACCUAUUAUGGACUAUCAGAUCCUUCCUCCACUCCUGCUUGAUUUCUGCCCCCAUUAUCUGAGCUCUGGUCAUCUAACUCUGUAAGUUACUUCCAACCAUAGUCAGGACAACAGUGCUGUAAUUCAAAUGUCCUUCCACAGCAGUUGCAUGUUUUUUGAGUUUUCCAGAGCAAGAUUUUUAAGACUUAACUGGCAAAAGCAGCAGGAGCCACAACUGAGAGAUAAUUCAGCUUUAGCAGUGAGAUGCAAUCACUGAUAUACUGCUUAGGAUUUAUCCCUGGCUUAGUACACCUAUGUCACUUAUAUUAAGUCAUUCGUCACUGCAGCAGUAUGUACCUGCUCUUAACUGAUUGUGCUGAUUAACUGUAAUGUAUGAUUUCAUUUAUUUCUCAGAAGACAAGCAGCAGCAUGUGACCCUUCCUGAGUGUAAGAUGAUCUUUUUAAUGUAUACUCUUUUAAUAAAUUAAAUGUCACAUUGAGUAAUAUUGCUAUAUAUGUGUGUACGUUCAUGUGAGUGGACACACACACUUUUGUUUCCAUUGCAAAUAAGGACUAUUCUUUUGUGUUUAGGUGGGUACAUGUUCAGUGUGAAUUCUCUUCUUGUGAUCCCAGCAGCUUCUCUUCAGUGUUUAAAGAAAUGUAGACUUCACAUAGUGCUGUAGUUAUUAUGCUGGAUGUGGCUACUUGAAAGUUCUUCAAGUUCAGAGAUAUCAUGUCUAAAUUUGUCUGGGGAUCUGGGCUUAACUAAUUCAUUAUUGCCAGUACCCAGGAGUCUGAUUUCCAUCACACUGGCAGGAGGAAAAUCAGAGUCCCAGUUGAACAGCUGAGUGGUAGAAUUUUAAAAUCAAAUCAAAGCUUUUUAAUGAGGAGAUAGGAGACUAAAAUAUAUGCUACACUGGUGGCUUUGGGCACAUGUUUUCCUUUCCCCUCACAGAGAACUCCUCAAGAAGACUCAAUGUAUGUUUGCAAUUAAAGCUGAAAGGUUUCUUCCCCCAAGAAGAGCAAGCCAAACAGGGAGAUGGAGGAGGUCUGCCCUGCUAAAAAAAGAGAGCAAGCUUGAGCAUUUAGCUAGCCAUGAGGACGCAAGGGAGGUGGUAGAGUCACCAUCCAUGGAGGUGUUCAUGAAAAGGGCAGAUGUGGCACUGAGGGUUGUGGUUAGUGGGCAAAGUGGGGAUGGGCUGACAGGUGGACUCUGUGUUCUUAGUGGUCUUUUCCAACCCUAAUGAUACUAUGAUUCUAAGCCAGAAGUAGCUGUUGACUUGAGGACCUCAGACUGGCACAUGCGUAAAAGAGAACUCAGGCCCAAGGAUUUUGUGUGCUUACACAAUAGUUCAGUGCAGAGGUUCCAGGAGUAAUAGCAGUUUAGAUAGAUCUGUGGCUAGAGAUAGCACAUCCUUGUCAGCCAGUUGGUCGUUAGGCUGAGAUAGAGCUUAAUAACUGAAAAUCAACAGCAAAAUUAUUAUUAGGUAGACAAUAAACCAGUGUUUCUUAGCUUUAGGAUGUAACAGAUAGCUCAGCUAUCUUUACUCUAUACUUAAUAGCAAGGUGUCCACCUGUCUCCACGUGCCAGGACUUCGAUAGCUACGUAAGAAGUUAUCUACCAUAGAUAGCUAUGCCACAACUAGUUAUGCAGGCUUUCACUGCAAAUUAGAGAAAAAAUAGUAUUUUUGUGCAGUGCUCCAUCUAGUAUAAGACGCAAAUUUUAGGAAGAGAAGGCAGCAUGCACCCAUGGAGUCUCUGCAUCCCUCAUUAUAUCUGCUUUGCCUCCUCCCAUGGGUAUUCAGAGAGGACACCUCCUUGCCUCACAGGAUAUUCUUUCACUGCCCUCAUGAGAAUGGAAAAAGUCUCUCGGCUGAUCAGAGAAAACCCGAACCAAUCAAUCAUCCAGGAAAUAACUGCAGUGAGUGUUGCAAGGCUCCAUGUAUUAGCUAACCGUCUUCAAAACACAUUUCAGUAGUGAUUUAUCUUUUUCUCUUAACACUUUUAAAGCAGUUGUCAUUAUAAUGAGCUAGAACAACAACUCC